UCCUGUUCUGGGCCGAGGCACACACACAGAGUCGGAUGCGCUUGUCCAUCCCGGCCCGGGGGCGGGACUUCCGGUGCCCGGUCCGCACUUCCUGUGCUCUGCGCCUGACGGACAGCCGUGAGGGGAGGCCACGCCCAGGAGGGCGGGACUUCCGCUUCGAGGCCCACUUCCGGUCCCCAAGUCCACAGUCGCCCCAAGAGGGCGGGGCCGAGGGAUGAUGGACAGCCGGGGGCGGGGCGUGGCCGGACCCCGCCCCCUGGGCCCGACAUGACGUCAUCCCCCAUCGCCCCGACAUGACGUCAUCCCAGCCGGCGACGGGGACUUCGACCUCGCCGACGCCCUGGACGACCCCGAACCCACCUCGAAGCCCAGCGGGGGCCUCUACCCGAAGCUCCCGCAGGACCCGGCAGCCCCCGACCCCCACGGCGGAGGUGAGUCGGGUGCUCGAGGCUCAGUCCGCAGGGUGCUGAGGGCUCAGUCCUCGCCGGGGUCGCUCCCCUGAUAGUGCAUUCUGUGGGGUGCUGGAAGCUCAGUCCACUGGGUGCUUGUGGCUCAGUCCACUGGGUGCUGGAAGCUCAGUCCACUGGGUGUGGGUGCUUGUAGCUCAGUCCACAGAGUCCUGGUAGCUCAGUCCCCAGGGUGCUGAGGGCUCAGUCCUCGCGGGGGUCACUCCCACAUUUUUUUUAUGCUGGGUGCUGGAAGCUCAGUCCAAUGGGUGCUUGUAGCUCAGUCCCCAGGGUGCUCAGGACUCAGUCCUCGCCGGGGUCGCUCCCAUGAUACUUUAUUCUCUGGGGUGCUGGAAGCUCAGUCUGCAGGGUGCUGAGGGCUCAGUCCUCGCCAGGGUUGCAGCCAGGAUAGUUUUUUAUGCUGGGUGCUCGUAGCUCAGUCCCCAGGGUGCUGAGGGCUCAGUCCUCGCCGAGUCGGCUCCCAGUACCGAGUUACCGCUCCGUAAGCACCCGCGUGUGCUCUGACCCCGCAGAA
RNA transcript from Peromyscus californicus insignis, 981 nucleotides. It is a transcript of the gene named Xg glycoprotein (Xg blood group), with no coding region annotated. The transcript is spliced from 4 exons. The record is from RefSeq and is a predicted model, not a curated record. NCBI's taxonomy places the organism in Eukaryota, Metazoa, Chordata, Mammalia, Rodentia, Cricetidae.